RNAcentral lists this ribosomal RNA (474 nucleotides) under uncultured organism. RNAcentral's name for it is "partial 16S ribosomal RNA". It matches the Rfam family "Bacterial small subunit ribosomal RNA", at positions 332 to 797 of the family's 1533-position model. The record is from RNAcentral.
UACACUCCUGCGGGAGGCAGCAGUGGGGAAUUUUGGACAAUGGGCGAAAGCCUGAUCCAGCAAUGCCGCGUGUGUGAAGAAGGCCUUCGGGUUGUAAAGCACUUUUGUCCGGAAAGAAAUCCUUGGCUCUAAUACAGUCGGGGGAUGACGGUACCGGAAGAAUAAGCACCGGCUAACUACGUGCCAGCAGCCGCGGUAAUACGUAGGGUGCGAGCGUUAAUCGGAAUUACUGGGCGUAAAGCGUGCGCAGGCGGUUUGCUAAGACCGAUGUGAAAUCCCCGGGCUCAACCUGGGAACUGCAUUGGUGACGGGCAGGCUAGAGUAUGGCAGAGGGGGGUAGAAUUCCACGUGUAGCAGUGAAAUGCGUAGAGAUGUGGAGGAAUACCGAUGGCGAAGGCAGCCCCCUGGGCCAAUACUGACGCUCAUGCACGAAAGCGUGGGGAGCAAACAGGAUUAGAUACCCUAGUAGUCCCA